RNAcentral lists this ribosomal RNA (215 nucleotides) under uncultured bacterium. Its description in RNAcentral is "partial 16S ribosomal RNA". It matches the Rfam family "Bacterial small subunit ribosomal RNA", at positions 1286 to 1500 of the family's 1533-position model. The record is from RNAcentral.
UCUCAGUUCGGACUGUGGUCUGCAACUCGACCACACGAAGCUGGAAUCGCUAGUAAUCGCGAAUCAGCAUGUCGCGGUGAAUACGUUCCCGGGUCUUGUACACACCGCCCGUCACACCAUGGGAGUCAGCAACGCCCGAAGUCAGUGACCUAACCGAGNGGAAGGAGCUGCCGAAGGCGGGGCAGGUAACUGGGGUGAAGUCGUAACAAGGUAGC